This is a non-coding RNA of Caenorhabditis elegans, 148 nucleotides long. The record is from Ensembl. Lineage: Eukaryota; Metazoa; Nematoda; Chromadorea; Rhabditida; Rhabditidae.
GGACCUCGGGCCUGCUACUAUCUAUGACACUAUGAAAUAAUGAAAUGCAAGGAUUAUAUUUGAUGGCUGUUGCUACUGCUGGUGGUAGUGGCGGUGGUGGACGGCUGGUUGUGUGUGUCGCACUUUUCCACAUACAUACACACCUACC